GACGAGCCUCACAAACGUUAUUCGGAAUUACUGGGCUUAAAGGGUGCGUAGGCGGCGCGGAAAGUUGGAUGUGAAAUCCCUCGGCUCAACCGAGGAACUGCGCCCAAAACUGCCGUGCUCGAGGAAGAUAGAGGUGAGCGGAACUUACGGUGGAGCGGUGAAAUGCGUUGAUAUCGACCGGAACUCCGGUGGCGAAGGCGAGGUGCUGGACCCUUUCUGACGCUGAGGCGCGAAAGCCAGGGGAGCAAACGGG
This 253-nucleotide ribosomal RNA is filed under the name uncultured bacterium. RNAcentral describes it as "partial 16S ribosomal RNA". It matches the Rfam family "Bacterial small subunit ribosomal RNA", at positions 524 to 776 of the family's 1533-position model. The record is from RNAcentral.